Molecule: long non-coding RNA, 1402 nt
Filed under: Monodelphis domestica (gray short-tailed opossum)
Lineage: Eukaryota; Metazoa; Chordata; Mammalia; Didelphimorphia; Didelphidae
Description: lncRNA (ENSMODG00000047018.1)
Source: RNAcentral
CCUGAUGGGAUUAGGUUCAAUUGGUUUGGACUGAAUGAGCCCUAAAGCAAAAAACCUCCUCCUCCACAAUCUGUGUUGAAUUCCCGGAGACUGGUCCUGGUUUCUUUCAAGGUAAGCCCUUCGAGGGCCCUGUUUCUAUUCUUUCAGAAGCUCUGAGGGCUCCUGAUAGGAUUAGGCUCAGCUGAUGUGGGCGGAAUGAUCCCUGAGCCAAAAAAAAAACAAACAACAACAACAACAAAAACAACCUCCUCCUCCACAAUCUGUGUUGAAUGCCUGGAGACUGGCCCAGGUUACUUUCAAGGUCUCUGCAAUGACAGCCUUCAACCAAUGACAUCAACUGAGUAUCUAUCUGCUUCAAGUCUUACUUUGACAAAAAACAAACAAAAAAACCAAACAUUUUAGCUAGAUAUCCAAUUCAUAGUAGUACAUAAAGAGAAAAGCUCCAAAACUCAAAUGCCAUCUUGGGCUGCAUUAUUUCUUAAAUUGUUUGUUCUAUUAGGUAGUAACAUGAAUUUUUAAAGAAAACUGUGUAUAUUAAAUGCCUAUUUUACUCUGAGUUGGUACAGAAAUUCUUCAAUGCUUUAUUGUGGUAUUUAAGUGACUCUUGCGACAGACGCUGGCACUAAAGAAAAAGUGUCAAGCUGAAGAGUGUGUGAAACUGAUCACCUCAGUGGAAGAGGGGUCCCAGGAAAUUGGAAUCUUGAGGAGGAGAAGACUCUGCCUGGUAGAAAAGUUGUUCUCUCAGUCUUGAGAAACCGAAGAGAGAAGGUAGAAAAAGAUUUUCUCCUGAGGGUUACCCACCUUUCCUGCUGGUGACUGAAAAUCCUUCCUCCCAACAUUUUCCAAUUGAAAAAACUAUUGAAGAGGACACCUGAGAAAGACAUUUUAUAUCUCUGGUGGACUUUACUUCAGUUCCUGUUGCCCUCAGUCUGAACUGUGGCCUAGGGGCCAAACCCAGGGUGAGCCAACCUGACUUUCUCUUAGCGGCCUCAGGCUGCCAAAGCCUGAGUUCCCCCCAAACUCAAGGAAGGAGGAAAAGGGUUUUAGAUAGAGACAGGGGCCCCUUUUCCCCACUUCCAUUUGACAUUCUUUCCCUGCUAGUUAUUUCUUUGUAUUACAACUGUAAGGUUAAAAUUAUGGUUGAGACAGAAUGUAAUAAUUAUAUUUGGUCACCGAGGAUUUUGUUUGUAAAAUCCUAAUGAAACACCCAAACUCAGCUGGAAAUUUUAUGGUGAUUUAAUUGAUAUAGUGGAAGAGAUUAAGAAGAAGGAAGAAGGAAGGGGUUAGUACUGGGUGAGAAGAUUAGAAGACCUAGAAAGUAAGGUUUUGAGAGUGAAGGAGGAAAGAAUCAGCCUAACCUCCAAUGGGGCUCAGCUAAGAUGCCCAAACCUGAAUCAGCUCA